AACUGCUGCAUUUACGGUCCUGGCACGAAACUGACAGAAUGAUAAAGACAACAUCCUCCAACUGUGCACACUGACUACAGAUCUGAAACUUGCAACAUGCUCCAUUUCCAUUAAUGUCAGAAGUCUCCUUGAAAUUCACAACGUUAAAUGAUGCUAUAACUAGAAAGCUUAUGUUCCUCUUUGAGCGCCCAGAAUAGAUUGACUAGGUUUAGUCAAAUUCUAUAAGCUGAAUUUGAAAAUCAGAAGUGAUGCAUUUCUUUUUGAGGAAUGUCAACACACCGGCACUCCAGUUAUCCUGCAGAAUGGUUUCAAAUUAUGUCAAUCGGAUGCGCCACCUCUCUGAGCUGAAAGAGGAUGAUGAAGCCUGCCGCAAGGCUCUCAGCUCCGGAACCUUCCUGCUCUUUCAUGAUCUCUUGCCACUUGUGCAGAAGAUUGAGAACAAGUACAUGACACCAUUCGUGACAGCAGCAGAGCUUAAGAAGCUAGACCUGGCAGAAAAGUGGACGGAGGAAUCAGUGCUAAUUGGCUGCACAGAGAGUCUUGUGCCACAGUUUGCACUUGAUAUUGGAAAAUCUGAACAGGCCCGGGCAGAAUUGCUUCUGAAGGGAAAGUUUCUUGCAUUUCAGAAAGCUUAUACCAUCAUAGACAGAAAUGAUAUAUCCCUUAUAUCUCAGGCACAGGCUCUUCUCCGCUGGCACAGCACACACCUCUACUGCAGCAGAACUGGAAAACCGACACAAAAAAAUGCAUCCGGCAGCAAACGAAUCUGUGGCAAUGAUGAAAUAAUCUAUUACCCACAGAUGUCUCCUGUGGUUAUCAUGUUGGUAUCUGAUGGAGCACGUUGCCUGCUGGCACGACAGAAACAAUUUCCUCCCGGAAUGUACAGUGCACUGGCUGGAUUCUGCAACAUUGGUAAUCAGCUCCUUACUGAUUAUAUGGAGUGCAAGAUUACAGACAGAACUCAGCAUUUGCAGUGUAAUGUGCCUGAGAGUCUGUGGAAGACUCCGUACGGCGGGAGGUUGCGGAGGAGGUUGGUUUGCAGGUGACAUCGCUGGUCUAUUCAGCAUCUCAACACUGGCCCUUUCCCAGCAGCUCCCUAAUGAUUGGAUACCAUGCAAUGGUGCAGCCAAAGCAGAACAAGAUUCAGUUCGACCACUCUGAGCUUCAGGAUGCCCGCUGGUUUGAUGCUACCGAAGUGGCAGAAGCUUUAAAGCGCAAGAUGCCUCGCAAGGAAGAAAUGAUUUCUUUCUGGAUCCCACCACCCUGGGCUUUAGCACAUCAUCUAAUCAAAGAAUGGACUCAAAAGCAAUAGCUGUCUUGAAAUCCUGCAGUGACUCAUUUGGUGGGAUUGGAUAGUGGGUGGAUAUUAUUUCUUUGCAUCACUUUGGUAUUUUAUGUGGGCCAGCCACAAAGAAAAAAUAGAAUGCGUCAGGAUAUUUUCCACAUUGAAGACCUUUAUAAUGGUAGAUAUCAUUUUUUGUGUGUCUCCUUCAUAGCACUGGAGAAGGGAAGAAGACAAGUGAUUGUACAUUUCUAAUAGUAAAUAAUAAUACUGUGGUAUUUAACUUGUUUCUGCUUUAAACAUUUGAUCCACAAAGUCCAAUUUGAAUACAUUCAAACCCGAUUUUCAGUAUUAAAAAAAACUUUCCAACCCUU
Molecule: RNA transcript, 1656 nt
Organism: Amblyraja radiata (thorny skate)
Lineage: Eukaryota; Metazoa; Chordata; Chondrichthyes; Rajiformes; Rajidae
Gene: nudt13
Gene name: nudix (nucleoside diphosphate linked moiety X)-type motif 13
Exons: 9
Source: RefSeq, a predicted model, not a curated record